GGCGUAGCUCAGGUGGAAGAGCGACUGACUUGUAAUCAGUAGGUCAUGGGUUCGAUUCCCAUCGCCG
This 67-nucleotide transfer RNA is filed under the name Dehalococcoidia bacterium. RNAcentral describes it as "tRNA-Thr". It matches the Rfam family "tRNA". Rfam says of the family: Transfer RNA (tRNA) molecules are approximately 80 nucleotides in length. The record is from RNAcentral. Lineage: Bacteria; Bacillati; Chloroflexota; Dehalococcoidia.